RNAcentral lists this long non-coding RNA (271 nucleotides) under Carica papaya (papaya). RNAcentral's name for it is "long non-coding RNA (CPAP_LNC016604)". Lineage: Eukaryota; Viridiplantae; Streptophyta; Magnoliopsida; Brassicales; Caricaceae. The record is from RNAcentral.
ACUGCAAGAGAGAUUGAGAAAACAAGAAGAAGGCAAAGUCAUGUUCAAAAAAUAAUUAGAAGAAAACACCCCAUCAUCCAUUACUGAUUCCAACCUUUAAGAUAAUUACAAUAUGCUAUAGAUUGCAUGCUGGUGUGCAUAUAAAUAACGAAAAACAGUUAAAGAUUAUAUAUCUGUGUGUAUACGUAUAAAGAAAUACUUAUUCUAUUUGCUAUUUAGACAAAAUUGCUAUUACAUCACAAUAAUAUGACAUAUUUAGCAAAUUAAACAA